AUGGAAAGAGUGGGGAAAGUAUGGAACGACUUCAAAUACAGGUGUCAGAAUCGCUUCAGUCACAAGGGAGGAAGCCAUAGGGAAAAUAUAGACAUGAAAGCCAAGGGCGGUUUGUCUGUCAAAGAGAAAAGCAUCCACACAGGGAGACUCAGCUCAGCCACAAAGCAGUCCCUUAAGAGAAAAAACAUUUUCCCUUACAACUGGGAUUAAGCCCUUCCAAGAGUUCUUCAAGGAGACACCAAAAUGGUGCCACCAAAAUCUCUCAGAUUAUUGAAACAAGCACUGAAAGAGGACAAUGAUUCUUGUGUUACCCCAGGAACAAGACUUCAUGAAGAGAUUCCUACUCUCCACAUGGUCCACAGGUGGGAGGAACAAACAUUCCUGUUCCACAAAGACCCAGAAUUCACUGGAUACUGAUAAAAUGCUCAGGUUUAGCCCCAAAAUGGCAUCUGACUAAACAGCAUACAGCUCCUGUGAGCCCACAUUCAACAUUUCUGACACAUUUGAUCCAUCUUUGGUUUCUACAGAAGACAAAGAAGAUAGGCUUAGAGGGAGAAGAUGGCUUGGUAUUGAAGAAGGGAUAGAUCCCCCUCCCAAUGUACAAAUAAAUACAUUUGAAGCUACUGCACAGGUUAAUCCCUUAAAGAAACUGGGGCCAAGGUUAGCUCUUGGAGUUGCUGAAAUAAGUGGGGACAGUUCUGCAAUUCCACAAGCUGACUGUGACUCAGAAGAGAAUCCAAGCGCCCUGUGUUUGCAGUCACGGAGGCAGAAGUAGCAUCAGUAUCUGGAGACAGCCUUGCCCAUGUUAGCAGACGGGGAGCUUGGAAAGUCCACACACAGACUGAUUGCACACACUGCCUCAUGCCCGCUUUGCUUCAGAUUACAGGGAAUCGCUGUGACGGGGGAGUGAGGGACUGUUAGGAAGCAGAAGCCCUUCUGGAAAGGAAACUCGAAGGCCCUUUUUUGCUCAGGGACUCUGUGCAAGAGGACACCUCCUCUCUGUGAGCUUCCGCCGCUGCACCCGGUCCCUUUAUGCACAGAUUGAGCAGUGGGAUCACAGCGUGUGUUUUGAUGGCCAUGGCCCAUGUGUAUUUCACUCCUCCGCUGUAACAGGUCUUUUAUGAACAUGAUCAAAAUCCCAGUUCCUGCAUGUUUUUUGAACCACUGCUUACUGUAUCUCUAAACAGGACCUUUCCUUUCAGCCUGCGGCAUCUGUCUGCAGGAGUCUGCAGGUGCACUGCGUAUGAUGCAAUCAGUGGGCUCCCUUUAUCAUCAACGUGGCAGAAUUUUUUAAAGGACAUCAUUAUAAACAAAAAGUUAGGUUUUGCUAACUAGAAAGAGAACCAGUCAGGGCAAAGC
This 1359-nucleotide long non-coding RNA is filed under the name Homo sapiens (human). Its description in RNAcentral is "non-protein coding lnc-PPP1R26-4:1". Lineage: Eukaryota; Metazoa; Chordata; Mammalia; Primates; Hominidae. The record is from RNAcentral.